RNAcentral lists this long non-coding RNA (286 nucleotides) under Helianthus annuus (common sunflower). RNAcentral's name for it is "hypothetical non coding rna". The record is from RNAcentral. Lineage: Eukaryota; Viridiplantae; Streptophyta; Magnoliopsida; Asterales; Asteraceae.
UUUUAGUCCAAAAUCCAAAAGCCCUCUAUUUUGACUGUUGAAAGCUGAUUAUUUUGUCCUUUAGUGCAGGGGCAUUUGGUCAUUUUUAAAUACAAAAUGGCAGUAUUUGGUCAUUAUGAAUUUGGGGAAGAUGAAGAUAGUGUGCUUUUAUAGGGUCAAAAUUGAUUUAUAAUAACUCAUAAAAAUGACCAAAAUGCCCCUGCACUAAAGGAUAAAAUAAUGAGCUUUCAACAGUCAAAAUAAAGGGUUUUUGGAUUUUGGACUAAAAUGGCAACAAAAUGCAAGC